Molecule: ribosomal RNA, 486 nt
Filed under: uncultured bacterium
Lineage: Bacteria
Description: partial 16S ribosomal RNA
Rfam family: Bacterial small subunit ribosomal RNA
Source: RNAcentral
AUUGAACGCUGGCGGCAUGCCUUACACAUGCAAGUCGAACGGCAGCACGGGUGCUUGCACCUGGUGGCGAGUGGCGAACGGGUGAGUAAUACAUCGGAACAUGUCCUGUAGUGGGGGAUAGCCCGGCGAAAGCCGGAUUAAUACCGCAUACGAUCUUCGGAUGAAAGCGGGGGACCUUCGGGCCUCGCGCUAUAGGGUUGGCCGAUGGCUGAUUAGCUAGUUGGUGGGGUAAAGGCCUACCAAGGCGACGAUCAGUAGCUGGUCUGAGAGGACGACCAGCCACACUGGGACUGAGACACGGCCCAGACUCCUACGGGAGGCAGCAGUGGGGAAUUUUGGACAAUGGGCGAAAGCCUGAUCCAGCAAUGCCGCGUGUGUGAAGAAGGCCUUCGGGUUGUAAAGCACUUUUGUCCGGAAAGAAAUCCUUGGCCCUAAUACGGUCGGGGGAUGACGGUACCGGAAGAAUAAGCACCGGCUAACUACGUG